UUGCCUCUUGAAAAAGGACAACGAUAGAGAUUAUGACGUGGAGUAUGCAGUGAUACAUCAAAAUCACAACAUAGGUGGGGAUCGUUCCCCUCACAACAUAGCUCUAAUUCGUACAAAGAAAACUGUUCUUUUCGAAGAUCAUAUCCAUCCCGCUUGUUUGCCAGUAAACCAAAAUCUUCAACAAAUGGAACAACAAACAUACGUCGUUGCAGGUUGGAAUGGUUUUAAUUAUACCUUUCGGGAAGCUAUUGUUUCUCAACGAAAGUGUGUAAGUGGAAAACUUGUAAAUAUUGCCGAGAUGCAGUUUUGCACCAACCACGCUGACGUGAAUUGCACACCUAUGUUAGGAGCACCGCUUGGUAAAUUUGUAUGGUUCUUGGGAAAGCGAUUUGUGCAGUUUGGAAUAAAUCUUAAUCAAGACCCCAAACAAGGUUGUCAAGAUAAGGACAUGGUGUUCUUAAUGGUAGCAUACUGUAUGGAUUGGAUUGUAGCUAACAUGGAAGAAUAAGAGUUGACCUUAUUAAAAAAAAAAUAAUAAAUCAAAUGACCAUCUUUCGAAACACAA
Culex quinquefasciatus (southern house mosquito) is the source of this 565-nucleotide long non-coding RNA. RefSeq lists it as uncharacterized. NCBI's taxonomy places the organism in Eukaryota, Metazoa, Arthropoda, Insecta, Diptera, Culicidae. The record is from RefSeq and is a predicted model, not a curated record. The transcript is spliced from 2 exons.